Molecule: ribosomal RNA, 43 nt
Filed under: Phytophthora palmivora
Lineage: Eukaryota; Oomycota; Peronosporomycetes; Peronosporales; Peronosporaceae
Description: partial 28S ribosomal RNA
Source: RNAcentral
AUUGGACCUGAUAUCAGGCAAGAUUACCCGCUGACUUAAGAUA